CGAAGGUGAAAACGAUCACGAGGACUAAUCAUUCUACAGUUUCAGUUACAUGCGUGUGAUCUAAUUUCCAUGGAAUAUUCGAAUGUCCCAAAUGGGUUUGCACCUGCAUCCUUUCAUUUUUCUGCUAGGAUCGAGUCAAAGUAAUUUAUCUUUGGUCAUUCCUUUUGCAGGCAAAGGAGCACUUAAGCUCUGCACGUUCCAAAACACACAUAUGCAUAUCAAUUUGAGAUCAGGUGCAAAAUCCAGGUAUCGGAAGGUAGCAAUUGGACUGAAGUUUCAGCGACUUGGAAAGUUUGCUAACAUUUACAUCACCAUCGCGUAGGCUUCCAUUUGUACCAAGAGAGAAUGUAAAUUAUAGUUGUCUCUCAUUCUGUAAAGUAUUAAAGCAUAUAUCUUAAUACAAGUAUUACCAUGGUGUAAACCAUUCACAAGAAGACAUGAAGGAGAAAACCCACAAAGGACAAAUACAGCCACAUCCAAAUAACCAUAAAAAUGUCAUUCUCAAGAGAAAUUACGGAAGGAGAGCAUGAUCAUGGAACGGGCUGCCAUAACAAAGGCCUCAGAAACCGUAACGCUAACUCUUUUUCAAAGUGGCAUUUGCACACAAACAACUAUAAUAAGAAGCAUUCGCCAAAGAAUGUCUGGAAAUUUCAGCCCAACAUACCAAAUAUAAAUAGCAUGUCAAGUACUAGUGCUCCAUCAGGAAUUGACAACGAUUCUUGUCAUGCAUGCUAAUGGUUUGAUUAGUCUCAUACAACUAGGUACACUACCAAAAACACUACCGGCCUUCACCAAAUAAGAAGUGCCCUGGUUCCUGUGUUCUACUUGUCAUGUUAUAGAUGACUACCAGUUGUAGAAGUUGCAGAAGAUUUCUAUCGAAACAGGGCACCCGCCAUCUCUGUUACUAUAACUGGAUUCACACUCAAAACCCACUGAACCAGUGAAUGUGGGUGCAACAAAAGUUUGCCUUGGUUCAUCAACAAAAAUCCAUAGUUUCACCAAUAAGACACUGCUAACACCAUUAACUCUAAGGAGCUUUCAAUUAAUCAUAGAGGUGGAAACACGGGAAGUGUCAAGUGGCAGACAGAUUCUUCUAAUCAAUUUGACAUCAGACUAGUAGUUUACCAAGUAUGAAUAACCUAUAAUGGUCUGGAACCCAUGUCUAACGACGCAGCAACAAUUUCUGUCAGACCUCCCAACCUCAGAAACACCAUCCAGCCACUUAUCAAAAACAAAAUUAAGCAUAUUUAAAUAUGUGGCUACUUCAGCCAGAAGCGCAAACAAAAUAGAAGCUUUCCUGAAUAAAGAUUGACGACCUACCAAAAGCUUCGGAAUCAUUUGAUAAUUAUUUCCUAUGCAUGUAAUUAAACAAGUCACAGUUACCGGUGCACUAAAUGGAAAGCGAAUGAGAAAUCUGUAAAUCCCAAUAUGUCUGUAAAUUUUCAAGUUGUCACCGGAGUAUCAAUCUGCAUAUCAUCUCUAAACUGUUUCAGUGUAGCUGUAUGGAUAUCUCAACCCCACCAAGAUCAUUUGCUCUCGAUGUCAUAUAGAUCUGUU
Long non-coding RNA from Rhododendron vialii, 1557 nucleotides. RefSeq lists it as uncharacterized. The record is from RefSeq and is a predicted model, not a curated record. The transcript is spliced from 2 exons. Lineage: Eukaryota; Viridiplantae; Streptophyta; Magnoliopsida; Ericales; Ericaceae.